Molecule: long non-coding RNA, 495 nt
Organism: Lagenorhynchus albirostris (white-beaked dolphin)
Lineage: Eukaryota; Metazoa; Chordata; Mammalia; Artiodactyla; Delphinidae
Exons: 3
Source: RefSeq, a predicted model, not a curated record
AUGGAAUUUGAGAGAGGGACCUUAGAGAUCAUGUCAUCCUUUGUUAGCACUUAAGGUGUCAACUGAAAGAAAUCAAAAGGAGCAGCUACAAAACAAAGGGAAUCUGAUGGAUCUUGCAAGGGAUGAAUCCUUCACAUUGAUUUCAUGAUGCUUAAAAUACUUCACACAACAUCCAAGUUCAUUACAGAAGGAUAGGAAGGAUGAAUUUGAAAAAGGACAAACCACUAAGCACUACCCAGCAUUCCUUGCAUUUAGGUAUGUCCAUACGACUGAAUUCUAGCCAGUGGAAUCUAAGAAAGUGUGUUGUGUCAUUUUUAGACCAGGUCCAUGUGAUCCUACAUUCUCCUUUCCUCUUUCACUUGCUAAAGGAUGAUCUUGGAAGGCAUAAGUGGAAGUAGGCAAAGUCUGCUACAGUUUGAAGUGCUGAAUGACUGUGGUGGGGCAAAUAAACCCCAAUGCAACCUAAAAAUCUUCAGCCGCCUUGGUCUGUUUAUG